Molecule: non-coding RNA, 177 nt
Organism: Duganella sp. Root198D2
Lineage: Bacteria; Pseudomonadati; Pseudomonadota; Betaproteobacteria; Burkholderiales; Oxalobacteraceae
Source: Rfam
GUUACCGCGAGGUAGGGUCUGAAGGAAGUCGAACCCAAAGCUGCGGGGCGAUGAACAAGAACCGGAUGGUAGGCGUGGUGCAUUCGGGGCGAGCGGGCACGUAACCGCGAAGCCCUCCAUCUGCAAAACUGGAUGCACUUUGUAAAUCCGGCGCUCGCGCAGCGACAGUGACGUGUC